Molecule: regulatory RNA element, 104 nt
Organism: Alistipes sp. CAG:268
Lineage: Bacteria; Pseudomonadati; Bacteroidota; Bacteroidia; Bacteroidales; Rikenellaceae
Rfam family: TPP riboswitch aptamer (THI element)
About the family: Vitamin B(1) in its active form thiamin pyrophosphate (TPP) is an essential coenzyme that is synthesised by coupling of pyrimidine and thiazole moieties in bacteria. The previously detected thiamin-regulatory element, thi box was extended, resulting in a new, highly conserved RNA secondary structure, the THI element, which is widely distributed in eubacteria and also occurs in some archaea.
Source: Rfam
AAGAUACAAGAGGGGUGCCUUUCCGACUGCGAGAAACGGCUGAGAUCAUACCCUAUGAACUUGAUGCGGUCAAUACCGCCGAAAGGACUUGUUCAUAGACCGUA